This 517-nucleotide ribosomal RNA is filed under the name uncultured bacterium. RNAcentral's name for it is "partial 16S ribosomal RNA". It matches the Rfam family "Bacterial small subunit ribosomal RNA", at positions 29 to 523 of the family's 1533-position model. The record is from RNAcentral.
AAUGAACGCUGGCGGCGCGCUUAAUACAUGCAAGUCGAACGAGAAAGUCGAAAGAUGAGUACAGUGGCGCACGGGUGAGUAACGCGUAAGUAAUCUGCCCUUAAGACCGGGAUAACACCGCGAAAGCGGUGCUAAUACUGGAUAAGCUCACGGCUGGGUAACUUAGCUGUGAGAAAAGCAUGCCUCUAUUUAUAAGCAUGCACUAAAGGAUGAGCUUGCGUAUCCAUUAGCUAGUUGGCGGGGUAAAGGCCCACCAAGGCGAUGAUGGAUAGCUGGUCUGAGAGGAUGGUCAGCCACACUGGAGCUGAGACACGGUCCAGACUCCUACGGGAGGCAGCAGUAGGGAAUUUUGCGCAAUGGGGGAAACCCUGACGCAGCGACGCCGCGUGAGUGAUGAAGGCCUUCGGGUUGUAAAGCUCUGUCAAGCUGGACGAACGCCGCUUGGUCUAAUAGGCCAGGUGGGUGACGGUACAGCUGGAGGAAGCACCGGCUAACUCUGUGCCAGCAGCCGCAGUAA